GAGACGUGUACAUACUUCGUCAACUCUGAUGAUGGGAGGCGGACCAUUAACACACCCAAAGAGCUGACACUGAAGCAUCUGAGUGACAAGGGCUGCAGCUCAUCACGAUGAAGGCAGGCAUUCUAUUUCAAGGUGGUGCUAGUGGUUAAGUGCUCACCUGCCAAUGCUGGAGACAUAAGAGAUGUGGGUUCGAUCCCUUGGUCAGUAAGAUCUUCUGGAGGACGGCAUGGCAACCUACUCCAGUAUUUUUGCCUGGAGAAUCUUAUGGACAGCGGAGCCUGGCAAGCUAUGGUCCAUAGGGUCACAAAGAGCUGGACACAACUGAAGUGACUGCACAUGCAAGAACAAUUCAUCAUCAUAAUCCCAUCCUGUUUUCCAGGUAAUUCAGACUCCAUCCCCACAAUUUCCAGAAACUCGUCACCUUGAAGAGGUUGAAAAAGAAACCAAAAUAUUUCUUUCUUUAAUUGGCCGCUGCUUACAGGCUCUUAGUUCCUUGACCAGGGCCCCUGGCAGUGAAAGCACUUAAGUCCUAACCACUGGACCUCCAGGGAAUGCCCAACAGAAAUAUUUCUUUGGAAAACUAUGUAAUCUUGAAAAUGACUCAUAAUGAAAAUAUGAGUCAUCUUGAAAAUGACCCCCUCAUUCAGUUCAGUCGCUCAGUCUCCCCCCUCAAAAAAAGAAAAAAGGAGUAACCAAAUGGUGACAGGGGG
Molecule: long non-coding RNA, 710 nt
Organism: Bos taurus (domestic cattle)
Lineage: Eukaryota; Metazoa; Chordata; Mammalia; Artiodactyla; Bovidae
Source: Ensembl